CCUAUUAUUUUUAUGUAAAAUUGAUUAGUCUUGAGUAGUAGUAGUUAAGAUCUUAAAACUUAAAGAAUUUGGCGGUAUUUUAAUCUGUUUAGAGGAAUCUGUUAUGUAAUUGAUAAUCCACGUUGAACCUUACUUAAUAAAUGGUCUUGUAUAUCGCUGUUUAAUGAAUUUUCUUUUAGGUAAUUUUCUUAAUAAUUGAUUUAUUAUUAUUUCAAGUCAAGGUGCAGUUGUAUUUAAGUUGAAUAAUGGAUUACAAUAAGUUUUAUUUAAAUGGAUUAUAUUUUGAAAUAAAUUUAUGAAGGUGGAUUUAAGUGUAAUUUUUUAAAGAUUAAAAAUAUGAUUGAUUGGCUCUAAAAUAUGUACACAUCGC
This 370-nucleotide ribosomal RNA is filed under the name Pseudomiopteryx guyanensis. Its description in RNAcentral is "partial 12S ribosomal RNA". The record is from RNAcentral. Lineage: Eukaryota; Metazoa; Arthropoda; Insecta; Mantodea; Thespidae.